Molecule: ribosomal RNA, 253 nt
Filed under: uncultured bacterium
Lineage: Bacteria
Description: partial 16S ribosomal RNA
Rfam family: Bacterial small subunit ribosomal RNA
Source: RNAcentral
UACGAGGGGGGCGAGCGUUGUUCGGAAUUAUUGGGCGUAAAGGGUGCGUAGGCGGUUUGGUAAGUCUCUUGUGAAAUCUAUGGGCUCAACUCAUAGUCUGCAAGGGAAACUGCCGGGCUUGAGUGUGGGAGAGGUGAGUGGAAUUUCCGGUGUAGCGGUGAAAUGCGCAGAUAUCGGGAAGAACACCCGUGGCGAAGGCGGUUCUCUGGGACGGUACUGACGCUGAGACGCGAAAGCGUGGGGAGCGAACAGG